RNAcentral lists this ribosomal RNA (484 nucleotides) under uncultured bacterium. RNAcentral's name for it is "bacterial SSU rRNA". It matches the Rfam family "Bacterial small subunit ribosomal RNA", at positions 1 to 507 of the family's 1533-position model. The record is from RNAcentral.
CAGUAGUCACGAGUUUGAUCAUGGCUCAGAUUGAACGCUGGCGGAAUGCUUUACACAUGCAAGUCGAACGGUAGAGGGGGCAACCCUUGAGAGUGGCGAACGGGUGAGUAAUAUAUCGGAACGUGCCCAGUCGUGGGGGAUAACGUAGCGAAAGUUACGCUAAUACCGCAUACGAUCUACGGAUGAAAGCGGGGGAUCGCAAGACCUCGCGCGAUUGGAGCGGCCGAUAUCAGAUUAGGUAGUUGGUGAGGUAAAGGGCUCACCAAGCCGACGAUCUGUAGCUGGUCUGAGAGGACGACCAGCCACACUGGGACUGAGACACGGCCCAGACUCCUACGGGAGGCAGCAGUGAGGAAUAUUGGACAAUGGGCGAAAGCCUGAUCCAGCAAUGCCGCGUGAGUGAUGAAGGCCUUCGGGUUGUAAAGCUCUUUUACUCGGGACGAUAAUGACGGUACCGAGAGAAUAAGCCCCGGCUAACUCCGUG